RNAcentral lists this ribosomal RNA (441 nucleotides) under uncultured bacterium. RNAcentral describes it as "partial 16S ribosomal RNA". It matches the Rfam family "Bacterial small subunit ribosomal RNA", at positions 338 to 795 of the family's 1533-position model. The record is from RNAcentral.
CCUACGGGGGACAGCAGUGGGGGAUAUUGCACAAUGGGGGAAACCCUGAUGCAGCGACGCCGCGUGGGUGAAGAAGUAUUUCGGUAUGUAAAGCCCUAUCAGCAGGGAAGAAAGACGACGGUACCUGACUAAGAAGCCCCGGCUAACUACGUGCCAACAGCCGCGGUAAUACGUAGGGGGCGAGCGUUAUCCGGAUUCACUGGGUGUAAAGGGAGCGUAGACGGCCGUGCAAGCCAGGAGUGAAAGCCCGGGGCCCAACCCCGGGACUGCUCUUGGAACUGUGCGGCUGGAGUGCGGGAGGGGCAGGCGGAAUUCCUGGUGUAGCGGUGAAAUGCGUAGAUAUCAGGAGGAACACCGGCGGCGAAGGCGGCCUACUGGACCGCGACUGACGUUGAGGCUCGAAAGCGUGGGGAGCGAACAGGAUUAGAUACCCCAGUAGUC